RNAcentral lists this ribosomal RNA (372 nucleotides) under uncultured bacterium. RNAcentral describes it as "bacterial SSU rRNA". It matches the Rfam family "Bacterial small subunit ribosomal RNA", at positions 30 to 403 of the family's 1533-position model. The record is from RNAcentral.
ACUGAACGCUGGCGGCAUGCCUUACACAUGCAAGUCGAACGGCAGCACGGGAGCAAUCCUGGUGGCGAGUGGCGAACGGGUGAGUAAUAUAUCGGAACGUGCCCAGUCGUGGGGAUAACGUAGCGAAAGCUACGCUAAUACCGCAUACGAUCUAUGGAUGAAAGCGGGGGAUCGCAAGACCUCGCGCGAUUGGAGCGGCCGAUAUCAGAUUAGGUAGUUGGUGAGGUAAAGGCUCACCAAGCCGACGAUCUGUAGCUGGUCUGAGAGGACGACCAGCCACACUGGGACUGAGACACGGCCCAGACUCCUACGGGGGGCAGCAGUGGGGAAUUUUGGACAAUGGGCGCAAGCCUGAUCCAGCAAUGCCGCGUG